RNAcentral lists this ribosomal RNA (224 nucleotides) under uncultured bacterium. RNAcentral describes it as "partial 16S ribosomal RNA". It matches the Rfam family "Bacterial small subunit ribosomal RNA", at positions 524 to 742 of the family's 1533-position model. The record is from RNAcentral.
UACGUAGGGUGCAAGCGUUGUCCGGAAUUACUGGGCGUAAAGAGCUCGUAGGUGGUUUGUCGCGUCGUCUGUGAAAGCCCGGGGCUUAACUCCGGGUCUGCAGGCGAUACGGGCAUAACUAGAGUGCUGUAGGGGAGACUGGAAUUCCUGGUGUAGCGGUGAAAUGCGCAGAUAUCAGGAGGAACACCGAUGGACAGAAGGCCAGGUCUCUGGGACAGUAAUCG